CCCUUUGGGUGUGACUGCGUACCUUUUGUAUAAUGGGUCAGCGACUUAUAUUCUGUAGCAAGGUUAACCGAAUAGGGGAGCCGGAGGGAAACCGAGUCUUAACCGGGCGUUAAGUUGCAGGGUAUAGACCCGAAACCCGGUGAUCUAGCCAUGGGCAGGUUGAAGGUUGGGUAACACUAACUGGAGGACCGAACCGACUAAUGUUGAAAAAUUAGCGGAUGACCUGUGGCUGGGGGUGAAAGGCCAAUCAAACCGGGAGAUAGCUGGUUCUCCCCGAAAGCUAUUUAGGUAGCGCCUCGUGAAUUCAUCUCCGGGGGUAGAGCACUGUUUCGGCUAGGGGGCCAUCCCGGCUUACCAACCCGAUGCAAACUGCGAAUACCGGAGAAUGUUAUCACGGGAGACACACGGCGGGUGCUAACGUCCGUCGUGAAGAGGGAAACAACCCAGACCGCCAGCUAAGGUCCCAAAGUCAUGGUUAAGUGGGAAACGAUGUGGGAAGGCCCAGACAGCCAGGAUGUUGGCUUAGAAGCAGCCAUCAUUUAAAGAAAGCGUAAUAGCUCACUGGUCGAGUCGGCCUGCGCGGAAGAUGUAACGGGGCUAAACCAUGCACCGAAGCUGCGGCAG
This 624-nucleotide ribosomal RNA is filed under the name Salmonella enterica. RNAcentral describes it as "partial 23S ribosomal RNA". It matches the Rfam family "Bacterial large subunit ribosomal RNA", at positions 582 to 1208 of the family's 2925-position model. Lineage: Bacteria; Pseudomonadati; Pseudomonadota; Gammaproteobacteria; Enterobacterales; Enterobacteriaceae. The record is from RNAcentral.